This 356-nucleotide long non-coding RNA is filed under the name Canis lupus dingo (dingo). RNAcentral's name for it is "lncRNA (ENSCAFG00020020042.1)". The record is from RNAcentral. Lineage: Eukaryota; Metazoa; Chordata; Mammalia; Carnivora; Canidae.
GGAAAGUUCUUCUAAAUGGCGGCGGUGGGAAGGAGGGGCAGCACUUCCGCUGGUGUCUCUGCACUUUCUCUCUGACUCUGGAAUUUCCAUUUCUAAACCUCAGCUGAUCUGCCUGCAAGAAAAAAGAGAAAUGCCGUGGAUUCCAGAUGUAAGGGAAAUUCAGGAUGAAGAGGACCAAAGCACUUGACCAAGUGAGUGAAGAAAUUAUGAAAUAGUACAUUUUCUAGGGUAUUUUUUGGUGUGGAUCCCAUUUUAUUAACUCUGGUGCUUACCUGGGGGAUUCUUUUUUUUAUUGUUUUUAUUUUAUUUAUUUAUUUAUUUAUUUAUUUAUUUAUUUAUUUAUUUAUUUAUUUUUA